Pelodiscus sinensis (Chinese soft-shelled turtle) is the source of this 1092-nucleotide non-coding RNA. The record is from RefSeq and is a predicted model, not a curated record. Lineage: Eukaryota; Metazoa; Chordata; Testudines; Trionychidae.
CUCUCUCCUUCCUAUCUGAGAUAGAGGAGAAGAGAGAAUUCAGAAAGACUUCAUUUGCAUAUAUUUAACUGUUGCAUUUCUGCACAAUGUAUUAUGGAGUUUGGAAUUUGCUAGUGUUCUAUUUUGGACUGCUAUAUGAAAUGGUGCAUGUAAAAGGUUAUUUGUCUUGGAAAGAGAGGACAGCACACUGGCUGACAAGAAAGGCUUGGUGGACUUCUCAAUCUGAAGAUCAAUCUGAAUGACUUGUUGCACUGGAGAAUAUGCUUGGUAUUAUGGAGAGUGCUCGGGUUCUGUACAACAGAUUUCCUAACUCAAAUCAACAGUAGGGGAAAAUCUGUCCAUCACCAUAAAGGCUGGAGAAACUAUUAGAAAAUGUUGUGAAAGGAGCAGUGAUUCACAAAUGGUUUUCUAACAAGCGUGAGAUUUUGUCGGCAAUGCAAGACUUGCAGUUAUCAGACAGUUACAAGGAGGAUACAUGCAAUUUCAAGUGACAUGCAAACUCAGCUAAAGGAUGACUUGGAAAUAUGUGACUGGUUUUCACUGCAGUUCGAUGAAUCGACAGAUAUAUCAGAUACAGUGCAGUUGGCAGUUAUGGUGAGGAUGGUAUUUAAUGACUUCACCAUAAAAGAAGAGUUACUAAAAGUAUUGCCCAGGGCGCUGUCAGUGGUGGAAUGGACCCCCACUUGGGAAUCCCACCUCAGCACGCCAAGCUUCUAGGGUUCAAUUCCCCACCCUGGCUACUUCCUACCAAUGUCCUCUGGGUAAUCCUUUCCAUCUCUCCCCUCUGGACUGGGGACCUCCCGCUGACGGGCUUUUGAAAAACCAUGUGAAUUAAUUAUACCUAUUUUCCAUUAAGUGCUGAUGAACGCGUAUGAUUAACUUGUGUUUAACUUUUUUUCAUAUUUGUUUGUUUGUUUGUUUCUUGAAAUCCAGAUACAAGUAACAAUACAAAGAAUAUUUUUUAAUUAACCAUAACCGACUAUCUAUGUUAAAGUAAGAAUAAUAAAUCUAUUUGGACCAGCAGUUCAACAAUGUUUUACUUUUUUAAAAUAAAUAAGAUGAAAACUGUUUGAUAUUUAUUUUGUAAAAACU